AGAUUACCUCCUGAUCUUCAAUCAACCAUAAGCUCCCAGAUUCGUCAGAAUUAUUCCACCGAGGUGGAGGCCGCCGUCAACCAUCUGGUCAACAUGCAUCUGCGGGCCUCCUACACCUACCUCUCUCUGGGCUUCUAUUUCGACCGUGACGAUGUGGCUCUGGAAGGUGUGGGGCACUUCUUCCGCGAGUUGGCUGAGGAGAAGCGGGAGGGCGCUGAGCGUCUCUUGAAGAUGCAAAACCAGCGCGGCCGCCGCGCCCUCCUCCAGGACGUCCAGAAGCCGUCCCAAGAUGAGUGGGGGAAAACCCUGGACGCCAUGGAAGCUGCCCUGGUUCUGGAGAAGAGCCUGAACCAGGCCCUUCUGGAUCUGCACGCCCUGGGUUCUGCCCGCACAGACCCCCAUCUCUGUGACUUCCUGGAGAACCACUUCCUGGUUGAGGAGGUGAAACUCAUCAAGAAGAUGGGCGACCACCUGACGAACCUCCGCAGGCUGGCUGGCCCCCAGGCUGGGCUGGGCGAGUAUCUCUUCGAGAGGCUCACCCUCAAGCACGACUAGGAGCUCCGGAGACCAGCAGCAUCCUUUGAGGAGCCCUCGCUGACAUCCGUGCCUCAGCCUCUCCCUGCAGCCAGAGGCAGCUUUGUAACCACCCUGGAGCCCUCUCCCAAGCCCUGGACCAAAUGGAAACAAUAAAGCUUUUUGCAGCAAAAAAAAAAAAAAA
Enhydra lutris kenyoni (northern sea otter) is the source of this 718-nucleotide RNA transcript. It is a transcript of the gene named ferritin light chain pseudogene, with no coding region annotated. The transcript has a single exon. The record is from RefSeq and is a predicted model, not a curated record. NCBI's taxonomy places the organism in Eukaryota, Metazoa, Chordata, Mammalia, Carnivora, Mustelidae.